Molecule: transfer RNA, 85 nt
Filed under: Candidatus Gottesmanbacteria bacterium RBG_16_52_11
Lineage: Bacteria; Candidatus Gottesmaniibacteriota
Description: tRNA-Leu
Rfam family: tRNA
About the family: Transfer RNA (tRNA) molecules are approximately 80 nucleotides in length. Their secondary structure includes four short double-helical elements and three loops (D, anti-codon, and T loops). Further hydrogen bonds mediate the characteristic L-shaped molecular structure. tRNAs have two regions of fundamental functional importance: the anti-codon, which is responsible for specific mRNA codon recognition, and the 3' end, to which the tRNAs corresponding amino acid is attached (by aminoacyl-tRNA synthetases). tRNAs cope with the degeneracy of the genetic code in two manners: having more than one tRNA (with a specific anti-codon) for a particular amino acid; and 'wobble' base-pairing, i.e. permitting non-standard base-pairing at the 3rd anti-codon position.
Source: RNAcentral
GCCGAAGUGGCGGAAUUGGCAGACGCGCACGCUUCAGGAGCGUGUGGGGCAACCCAUGGAGGUUCGAGUCCUCUCUUCGGCACCA